CUAAGUUGACUGCCGGUGACAAACCGGAGGAAGGUGGGGAUGACGUCAAAUCAUCAUGCCCCUUAUGAUUUGGGCUACACACGUGCUACAAUGGACAAUACAAAGGGCAGCGAAACCGUGAGGUCAAGCAAAUCCCAUAAAGUUGUUCUCAGUUCGGAUUGUAGUCUGCAACUCGACUACAUGAAGCUGGAAUCGCUAGUAAUCGUAGAUCAGCAUGCUACGGUGAAUACGUUCCCGGGUCUUGUACACACCGCCCGUCACACCACGAGAGUUUGUAACACCCGAAGCCGGUGGAGUAACCUUUUAGGAGCUAGCCGUCGAAGGUGGGACAAAUGAUUGGGGUGAAGUCGUAACAAGGUAGCCGUAUCGGAAGGUGCGGCUGGAUCACCUCCUUUCUAAGGA
Molecule: ribosomal RNA, 402 nt
Filed under: Staphylococcus aureus
Lineage: Bacteria; Bacillati; Bacillota; Bacilli; Caryophanales; Staphylococcaceae
Description: bacterial SSU rRNA
Rfam family: Bacterial small subunit ribosomal RNA
Source: RNAcentral